Molecule: ribosomal RNA, 282 nt
Filed under: uncultured prokaryote
Description: partial 16S ribosomal RNA
Rfam family: Bacterial small subunit ribosomal RNA
Source: RNAcentral
UACGUAGGGGCUAGCGUUAUCCGGAAUUACUGGGCGUAAAGGGUGCGUAGGUGGUUUCUUAAGUCAGAGGUGAAAGGCUACGGCUCAACCGUAGUAAGCCUUUGAAACUGAGAAACUUGAGUGCAGGAGAGGAGAGUGGAAUUCCUAGUGUAGCGGUGAAAUGCGUAGAUAUUAGGAGGAACACCAGUUGCGAAGGCGGCUUCCUGGUCUGUAACUGACACUGAGGCGCGAAAGCGUGGGUAGCAAACAGGAUUAGAUACCCCGGUAGUCCCUGAGCGGGCU